CGUGUAGGCGGCCUUGUAAGUCAGAUGUGAAAGCCCCCGGCUCAACCGGGGAAGUGCAUCUGAAACUGCCUGGCUUGAGUACGGGAGAGGGAGGCGGAAUUCCCAGUGUAGAGGUGAAAUUCGUAGAUAUUGGGAGGAACACCGGUGGCGAAAGCGGCCUCCUGGACCGAUACUGACGCUGAGACGCGAAAGCGUGGGGAGCAAACA
This 207-nucleotide ribosomal RNA is filed under the name uncultured bacterium. RNAcentral's name for it is "partial 16S ribosomal RNA". It matches the Rfam family "Bacterial small subunit ribosomal RNA", at positions 568 to 774 of the family's 1533-position model. The record is from RNAcentral.